Molecule: ribosomal RNA, 496 nt
Filed under: uncultured bacterium
Lineage: Bacteria
Description: partial 16S ribosomal RNA
Rfam family: Bacterial small subunit ribosomal RNA
Source: RNAcentral
GACGAACGCUGGCGGCGUGCCUAAUACAUGCAAGUUGAGCGAUGAAGAUUGGUGCUUGCACCAAUUUGAAGAGCAGCGAACGGGUGAGUAACGCGUGGGGAAUCUGCCUUUGAGCGGGGGACAACAUUUGGAAACGAAUGCUAAUACCGCAUAACAACUUUAAACAUAAGUUUUAAGUUUGAAAGAUGCAAUUGCAUCACUCAAAGAUGAUCCCGCGUUGUAUUAGCUAGUUGGUGAGGUAAAGGCUCACCAGGGCGAUGAUACAUAGCCGACCUGAGAGGGUGAUCGGCCACAUUGGGACUGAGACACGGCCCAAACUCCUACGGGAGGCAGCAGUAGGGAAUCUUCGGCAAUGGACGAAAGUCUGACCGAGCAACGCCGCGUGAGUGAAGAAGGUUUUCGGAUCGUAAAACUCUGUUGGUAGAGAAGAACGUUGGUGAGAGUGGAAAGCUCAUCAAGUGACGGUAACUACCCAGAAAGGGACGGCUAACUACGU